AGUGAACGCUGGCGGUAGGCCUAACACAUGCAAGUCGAACGGCAGCACAGUAAGGGCUUGCUCUUACGGGUGGCGAGUGGCGGACGGGUGAGGAAUACAUCGGAAUCUACUUUUUCGUGGGGGAUAACGUAGGGAAACUUACGCUAAUACCGCAUACGACCUACGGGUGAAAGCAGGGGAUCUUCGGACCUUGCGCGAUUGAAUGAGCCGAUGUCGGAUUAGCUAGUUGGCGGGGUAAAGGCCCACCAAGGCGACGAUCCGUAGCUGGUCUGAGAGGAUGAUCAGCCACACUGGAACUGAGACACGGUCCAGACUCCUACGGGAGGCAGCAGUGGGGAAUAUUGGACAAUGGGCGCAAGCCUGAUCCAGCCAUACCGCGUGGGUGAAGAAGGCCUUCGGGUUGUAAAGCCCUUUUGUUGGGAAAGAAAAGCAGCAGGUUAAUACCGCGCUGUUCUGACGGUACCCAAAGAAUAAGCACCGGCUAACUUCGUG
This 492-nucleotide ribosomal RNA is filed under the name uncultured bacterium. RNAcentral describes it as "partial 16S ribosomal RNA". It matches the Rfam family "Bacterial small subunit ribosomal RNA", at positions 29 to 507 of the family's 1533-position model. The record is from RNAcentral.